GAUGAACGCUAGCUACAGGCUUAACACAUGCAAGUCGAGGGGAAACGACAUCGAAAGCUUGCUUUUGAUGGGCGUCGACCGGCGCACGGGUGAGUAACGCGUAUCCAACCUGCCCACCACUUGGGGAUAACCUUGCGAAAGUAAGACUAAUACCCAAUGAUAUCCCACGAAGACAUCUGAAUGGGAUUAAAGAUUUAUCGGUGAUGGAUGGGGAUGCGUCUGAUUAGCUUGUUGGCGGGGUAACGGCCCACCAAGGCAACGAUCAGUAGGGGUUCUGAGAGGAAGGUCCCCCACAUUGGAACUGAGACACGGUCCAAACUCCUACGGGAGGCAGCAGUGAGGAAUAUUGGUCAAUGGGCGAGAGCCUGGACCAGCCAAGUAGCGUGCAGGAAGACGGCCCUAUGGGUUGUAAACUGCUUUUAUAAGGGAAUAAAGUGGGUCACGUGUGACUUUUUGCAUGUACCUUAUGAAUAAGGACCGGCUAAUUCCGU
Molecule: ribosomal RNA, 491 nt
Filed under: uncultured bacterium
Lineage: Bacteria
Description: partial 16S ribosomal RNA
Rfam family: Bacterial small subunit ribosomal RNA
Source: RNAcentral